CUUUUUUUUCCUUUCAAAACUCUCCCAUUUCUUCCGUCUUCUCACUUUUCUUUCCAAAGUUGAUCACUUCCAUUUCGGAUUUUGGAAUCUGUCCUAGCGGCGGUAAGUAGAUUGCUCGGAUCUGGUACUUGAUGGAGACUUGAGGAAUUAAUUGGAAGUGAAAUGGAUUGAAUACGCAUGAGUUGGAGCCGAAAAAGAAGAAAAAUGGACAAGUGCCGAAUUCUAGCAUCCAGACGCGCUACCUGUGGCACUAGAAACAGAAGAUUAAAAUUUUCGGCAUCCAAGCUAGUGCGAUGUGUUGUCCAGGGUGCCCAAUCCCGAGAAUUGUCCUAUUUCGACUUAGAGAAGAUCUUUUUGGGCCCUACACGUCCCAACUCGUAUAAAAAGGGAUUCUUAACCAAAUUUAGAGGGGAUCUAGCAUACUUUGAAGGAGAACACGCCACUUUAGAGGGGAGAAUGCAAAUCACGCUUG
Nicotiana tabacum (common tobacco) is the source of this 472-nucleotide long non-coding RNA. RefSeq lists it as uncharacterized. NCBI's taxonomy places the organism in Eukaryota, Viridiplantae, Streptophyta, Magnoliopsida, Solanales, Solanaceae. The record is from RefSeq and is a predicted model, not a curated record.